This 876-nucleotide ribosomal RNA is filed under the name Triticum aestivum (bread wheat). Its description in RNAcentral is "partial small subunit ribosomal RNA". The record is from RNAcentral. Lineage: Eukaryota; Viridiplantae; Streptophyta; Magnoliopsida; Poales; Poaceae.
AUGAAGGAUUUAGGAGUGGCUGAUGUCAUUCUGAACAUCAAGUUGUUGAGAGAUGAUGAUGGUGGGAUUACAUUGCUUCAAUCUCACUAUGUGGAAAAGAUCUUGAGUCGCUUUGGCUAUAGUGACUGCAAGCCCUCUCCAACACCAUAUGAUGCUAGCGUGCUGCUUCGAAAGAAUCGAAGAAUUGCUAGAGAUCAAUUGAAGUAUUCUCAGAUUAUUGGCUCGCUUAUGUACUUAGCCAGUGCUACAAGACCUGACAUCUCUUUUGCUGUUAGCAAACUGAGUCGGUUUGUUUCAAAACCAGGAGAUGUGCAUUGGAAAGCUCUAGAGAGAGUUUUGCGUUAUUUGAAAGGCACUGCGAAUUAUGGAAUUCACUACACUGGGCAUCCAAAGGUGCUUGAAGGGUAUAGUGACUCAAACUGGAUCUCAGAUGCUGAUGAGAUAAAGGCCACGAGCGGUUAUGUAUUCACUCAUGGAGGUGGCGCUGUUUCUUGGAAGUCUUGCAAGCAGACCAUCUUAACGAGGUCAAUAAUGGAAGCAGAACUCACAGCACUAGAUACAGCUACGGUCGAAGCAGAUUGGCUUCGCCGGCUCUUGAAUGACUUGCCGGUAGUUGAGAAACCUGUACCGGGUAUCCUUAUGAACUGUGACAAUCAAACUGUGAUCACUAAAGUGAGCAGCUCAAAGGAUAACAUGAAGUCAUCAAGACAUGUUCAGAGAAGGUUAAAGUCUGUCAGGAAAAUGAAAAACUCCGGAGUUAUUGCAUUGGACUAUAUCCAAACGUCUAAAAAUCUGGCAGAUCCUUUUACUAAGUGUCUAUCACGCAAUGUGAUAGAUAAUGCAUCGAGGGAGAUGGGAAUGAAACCCACAAUAUGA